This 253-nucleotide ribosomal RNA is filed under the name uncultured bacterium. RNAcentral describes it as "partial 16S ribosomal RNA". It matches the Rfam family "Bacterial small subunit ribosomal RNA", at positions 524 to 776 of the family's 1533-position model. The record is from RNAcentral.
UACAGAGGCCUCGAGCGUUAAUCGGAGUCACUGGGCUUAAAGGGUGCGUAGGCGGGUCCGCAAGUGCCUUGUGAAAUCCCACGGCUCAACCGUGGAAUGGCUCGGCAGACUGCGGGUCUUGAGGUCGGUAGGGGUCGCUGGAACUCUAGGUGGAGCGGUGAAAUGCGUAGAUAUCUAGAGGAACGCUAAAGGUGAAGACAAGCGACUGGGCCGAUUCUGACGCUGAGGCACGAAAGCGUGGGGAGCGAACGGG